UACGUAGGGUGCAAGCGUUGUCCGGAAUUAUUGGGCGUAAAGGGCUCGUAGGCGGUCCGUCACGUCGGGAGUGAAAUCCUGGGGCUUAACCCCAGAACUGCUUCCGAUACGGGCAGACUAGAGGUAGGUAGGGGAGAAUGGAAUUCCUGGUGUAGCGGUGGAAUGCGCAGAUAUCGGGAAGAACACCUAUGGCGAAGGCAGCUCUCUGGGACGGUACUGACGCUGAGACGCGAAAGCGUGGGGAGCGAACAGG
RNAcentral lists this ribosomal RNA (253 nucleotides) under uncultured bacterium. RNAcentral describes it as "partial 16S ribosomal RNA". It matches the Rfam family "Bacterial small subunit ribosomal RNA", at positions 524 to 776 of the family's 1533-position model. The record is from RNAcentral.